RNAcentral lists this ribosomal RNA (424 nucleotides) under uncultured prokaryote. Its description in RNAcentral is "bacterial SSU rRNA". It matches the Rfam family "Bacterial small subunit ribosomal RNA", at positions 355 to 796 of the family's 1533-position model. The record is from RNAcentral.
UGGGGAAUCUUAGACAAUGGGGGAAACCCUGAUCUAGCCAUGCCGCGUGAGUGACGAAGGCCCUAGGGUCGUAAAGCUCUUUCGCUGGGGAAGAUAAUGACUGUACCCAGUAAAGAAGUCCCGGCUAACUCCGUGCCAGCAGCCGCGGUAAUACGGAGGGGACUAGCGUUGUUCGGAAUUACUGGGCGUAAAGCGCACGUAGGCGGAUUAGUCAGUCAGAGGUGAAAUCCCGGGGCUCAACCCCGGAACUGCCUUUGAUACUGCUAGUCUUGAGUUCGAGAGAGGUGAGUGGAAUUCCGAGUGUAGAGGUGAAAUUCGUAGAUAUUCGGAGGAACACCAGUGGCGAAGGCGGCUCACUGGCUCGAUACUGACGCUGAGGUGCGAAAGUGUGGGGAGCAAACAGGAUUAGAUACCCCCGUAGUCC